Molecule: ribosomal RNA, 252 nt
Filed under: uncultured Bacteroidales bacterium
Lineage: Bacteria; Pseudomonadati; Bacteroidota; Bacteroidia; Bacteroidales
Description: partial 16S ribosomal RNA
Rfam family: Bacterial small subunit ribosomal RNA
Source: RNAcentral
UACGGAGGAUGCGAGCGUUAUCCGGAUUUAUUGGGUUUAAAGGGUGCGUAGGCGGGAGAUCAAGUCAGCGGUCAAAUCGUGGGGCUCAACCCCAUCCAGCCGUUGAAACUGGCGUUCUUGAGUGGGCGAGAAGUAUGCGGAAUGCGUGGUGUAGCGGUGAAAUGCAUAGAUAUCACGCAGAACUCCGAUUGCGAAGGCAGCAUACCGGCGCCCUACUGACGCUCAUGCACGAAAGCGUGGGUAUCGAACAGG